RNAcentral lists this ribosomal RNA (301 nucleotides) under uncultured bacterium. Its description in RNAcentral is "partial 16S ribosomal RNA". It matches the Rfam family "Bacterial small subunit ribosomal RNA", at positions 509 to 807 of the family's 1533-position model. The record is from RNAcentral.
CAGCCGCCGCGGUAAUACGAAGGGGGCUAGCGUUGCUCGGAAUCACUGGGCGUAAAGGGUGCGUAGGCGGGUCUUUAAGUCAGGGGUGAAAUCCUGGAGCUCAACUCCAGAACUGCCUUUGAUACUGAAGAUCUUGAGUUCGGGAGAGGUGAGUGGAACUGCGAGUGUAGAGGUGAAAUUCGUAGAUAUUCGCAAGAACACCAGUGGCGAAGGCGGCUCACUGGCCCGGUACUGACGCUGAGGCACGGAAGCGUGGGGAGCAAACAGGAUUAGAUACCCGCGUAGUCCCUGUCUCUUAUAC